This is a long non-coding RNA of Raphanus sativus (radish), 1228 nucleotides long. RefSeq lists it as uncharacterized. The transcript is spliced from 2 exons. The record is from RefSeq and is a predicted model, not a curated record. NCBI's taxonomy places the organism in Eukaryota, Viridiplantae, Streptophyta, Magnoliopsida, Brassicales, Brassicaceae.
GCAAAAGAUAGGAACGUUUAGUCCAAUUUGUACCACUGAGUAGUUUCUUUGUCUUCAAAGGCGGUAAAUCUUCAAAACCACUACUGGUUUCCGGCAAAGAGGACAAGGCUUCCCUUGCAACUUCAAAGAGCAUGCCAUUUAUCGGGUUUUGAAUCCUGACAUUCCCGUUGCCAUCCUUGUUGUAAAGAGAGCAACAAAAUGAGCUCAAAGUUGGGACGGAUAUAACUAUAUAAGCAGAAGACUUAAAGAGAUACCUCACCAACAACCGUAAGCCGUGUACCGAUAGGGAGAACAUACUCAAUGCCCCUUACUCCAAGCAUCUGAAGCCAACACAGAGAAGCUAAAGCAGACGAGAGAAAAAAAAAAAAAAAAAAAGAAAAAGGAAAGACACCUCGCGGCCUUGGAGAUAAUCAUCUACUGUUCCAGGAAGAUGCAAAGAAGAAGGCUCAUCAUGCUUUUCAAAUACUUCAAUUGCGACAGUCAAAGCUAAGCCUAAUUCGCUCUCAGAUCCCGACACAUUAACCCGGCCUCCUGUCCCAUCUUCCUAUAAAGAGCAUAAAUGAGAAUUUUUUUUUCUUAAGAGCAGAGUCAAAAGUGUUUAAAAAGUGAAAGGUGGUUUACCAGAAACCAAGGGACUUGCUUAGACGGUGAUGGAUUCAGUGUCUUGAACCCACCAUUAACAUUCCAAAAUCUCCGUCUCUGCUUGAAAAAUCAAAUUAUUUCUAUUAAUACAUGGAACGGAGGAAUCCAUCCAAAGAAGAAAGCAGAGCAUACAAUUUCACACUAUAAGCCUGAUGCAUUCGGAUGGUCCUGCUCCAGUAGCUGCAAGGAGAGUCUUACAGAUCAGGGCACGUGGCGGUGGCAUCAAAAAUGAGCUACAGUCUACUCUGAUUUGAAGACAUUGGGAUGGCAUUGUGAUGACCAUUGGAAGAGAAGGAGAGAAAUGAGUUUGGUGUGCGAUUUGAGAGAGAUGUAUAUUGUGACUUUUUGCUUAUAUAGAAGGAAAGGGCAAGGCUGUAAGUUUACGUCUUUUACCAAAACCUCAUGAUGAAUGCCAAUUACAAAAAAAAAACAAAAAAAAAAGCAUUAUUCGUGAGAAUAUUGGUGAAACCAUUUGUAGAGAGAUUUGAGAAAAUGACCCUUAUUUUGUCAAGUAGGUAUUUAAAUUGUUUUUUUCUAUUGGGUUAAAUACUUGUAAAAUUUGUAAAUGUCUUCUUAUUUCUUGCAA